Molecule: long non-coding RNA, 1681 nt
Organism: Lagopus muta (rock ptarmigan)
Lineage: Eukaryota; Metazoa; Chordata; Aves; Galliformes; Phasianidae
Exons: 3
Source: RefSeq, a predicted model, not a curated record
CUCUGUGGUGUUUCUUCUGAAAGCCUAGAUCCUCAGAGGUAGACCUCCUGCUGAGAAGGUGGCAGAUCACCUGUGUACAUAGCAGCAGCACUAUGUGGAAGAGCUUUGCCCAUGGGAGGCUGCAAGGAUUCUGUCAGGUUAUAACUAACGUGUCAAUAGCAGUGUUCUGCUGAAGUGCUUCAAGGGCUUAUAACAAAAAGAUGAAGUGUGGUUGAGGACAAGCAUUGUUUUUCUAAGCCUACUCUUGAUAAUAUUUAUUUCACUGAUUAUGUCAGACCAAGAAAUCAACUUGACUGUUGUUUAGACAGAAGAAUGAAUUUAGUUUUGCUGAUUUUUCCAGAGGAAUAAAAGACAGGAAGUGUUAAAGUAAAGGAAAAAUGCAGCUGACAGCCUGUUAGCCUUUAAUUUGUGUUUUUGUUUUCUCAAGUGAAUAGCAUAAAAUUACUUCAACAAGUGUUUCUCCAAAUUUUAUGAUGUAAUAAGACAGCAUAUUGAAUACUCUGCACGUUUCUAUUUGUUAUGUCCCUUACUAAUGCAAAACAAUUGACUGCGUGUUGUCACUCAAUCUCAGUGACUGCUCAAGUAGUGAUGAAGAAUUUUGUUGUUACUGUUCUCUAUGUUUCAUAGAAAUACUAGUACCAAACUCAUGGUUAAGUUUUUGGUUUGUUCCGUGGCAUGUAUUCGGUUAAAACUGAGUUUUCAUCUCAUUUCUGAAGUUUAAAAUAAUUUUUUUUUUCCAUAAGCAAAAUAUUAAAUGAACCUUUAGGGUAUAAUUUCUGAUUAUUUGGAAUAGUUUAAGUAUUUGUGGGACUGAUGCAAAGUCUACUGGGAGUAAUAAACUGACUCUCAUGGAUAGAAAUGGAGACCCUGGCAACAAUUAAAUUGCAUCCUUUCUGGAAUUCUCUAGACAUGAGAUGAUUUCCAAGACCCAUAAUUUAUAAAAGACUUCAUUUUAACAUUUCAAAUAUAUGUAGUCUAAGUAUACAAAAUUAAGAGAAAAAUCAUAGUUACGCUAGCAUUUGUAACCAUAUUUACAUAAGAUUGUUCUAUUUCAAAAGGCAUAAUGGAGAUCAUAUACUUUGAGUAAUACUUCAUUUAUUAGACAUACAGGCAUAAAAGCUUACAGAAUUAAAGCAGAAAGAAACCAAAGCUAGGGUUUCAUUUCUUAACACUAAUUAAUUUGUAUUCAUAUUUCUAAUUAUGAGAAAUAAUUUUUGUUUUUGUUGUCUUAAUAUAUAUAAAAUUAGUUCAAGUGAAUCCAGGCACAGAGCUGUGCAACCCUUACCUUUGCUUAAAGCAAUACAUUUUAUGAUUUACAGAAUAUGGAGUGUUUGACAGAACACAGGUGUUAAUGCAAAGAGCAAAAGUCACUUUGUUUUUGGAGGAGGGCUUGAUUUAGUCUCUCUCUCCCUCCUUUGGUUCGGGACAUAAAGAAGUAACAGGAGUCUGUCACCUUCUAACUUUUUUUUUUCCUCUGGCAACCUUGUGUAGGGCUUAAACUGAGUUCUGACACAACUCAUAUGCAACAAUUUGCAUUAGGUUGUGUUUGUUUUCACCCUCGGAAAGUGUUCUCUAACGUUCAGCAAAAAUGAUGGAGCACAAAAUGGCCUGGAUUGAGUCUGGAAUCUUACUUCAAUAUUUCACAUAUUAAACCUAAUUAAGGGUUUUGGUAGAAAUCUCA